RNAcentral lists this small RNA (342 nucleotides) under Histoplasma capsulatum. Its description in RNAcentral is "hypothetical RNA". Lineage: Eukaryota; Fungi; Ascomycota; Eurotiomycetes; Onygenales; Ajellomycetaceae. RNAcentral also lists the same sequence under 1 other name. The record is from RNAcentral.
CUGGCCACUUGGGCAGGGGCCGCCGCAGGUUCCAUUUUGUUCCGUCGUCCCCUCUGGGUUUGCAUAGUAACAGAGCGGGGCCGAAAGUUUAGAAACCCACCAAUGAUCAUGGCCUGCAAGGCCCGUCUAUUGAUGUUUGCCGGACAACUGGGGGUGGCAUGGACCAAUAUUCUCAUGAGCUGACUCGAGGGGUGGCGGGAGCGAGAGGACAAGCGGUCCUUGGCUGUUGUCUGACUGAAUAUCUGACUCUUCCCUCAUCCUCGAGGACCCUGUGAUUACAGGAAUGGUAGCAGGAGGACAGGGACUAUUUGUCAAAUAUGAAACCUGGCAUACAUUUCCAGA